Molecule: long non-coding RNA, 210 nt
Organism: Gopherus flavomarginatus (Mexican gopher tortoise)
Lineage: Eukaryota; Metazoa; Chordata; Testudines; Testudinidae
Exons: 3
Source: RefSeq, a predicted model, not a curated record
CUGACAUUCCACUUUGAGAUGGAGAUUAAUGCUGAUCUCCCUGUGAACAAAAGAUCCUAUGCUCCUGUGGGGUGAAAAGGAACAUGAUGGAGGCGAUGAUAUUCUUGCAAACACCCAUGGAAGCAUGAUGGAGAAUAAAAUAUAUGAUCAUUCAAGAUUUUGGCGUUGACCCAGAAUGAAAGUGAAACUGCACGGAUGGAGUAAGAUCAG